Molecule: non-coding RNA, 184 nt
Filed under: Aggregatibacter actinomycetemcomitans
Lineage: Bacteria; Pseudomonadati; Pseudomonadota; Gammaproteobacteria; Pasteurellales; Pasteurellaceae
Description: FMN sequence
Rfam family: FMN riboswitch aptamer (RFN element)
About the family: The RFN element is a highly conserved domain that is found frequently in the 5'-untranslated regions of prokaryotic mRNAs that encode for flavin mononucleotide (FMN) biosynthesis and transport proteins.
Source: RNAcentral
GCGCAUUCUCAGGGCAGGGUGAAAGUCCCUACCGGUGGUAAGCAUGAAGGAAUGUUUCAAUGCAAGCCCACGAGCGUUUAUCGACAAAAGUGCGGUCGUUUUUGACGGCGUUUUUUCGAUAAAGUCAGCAGAUUUGGUGCGAAUCCAAAGCCGACAGUGACAGUCUGGAUGAAAGAGAAUAAAA